This 254-nucleotide ribosomal RNA is filed under the name uncultured bacterium. Its description in RNAcentral is "partial 16S ribosomal RNA". It matches the Rfam family "Bacterial small subunit ribosomal RNA", at positions 524 to 776 of the family's 1533-position model. The record is from RNAcentral.
UACGUAGGGCGCAAGCGUUGUCCGGAAUUAUUGGGCGUAAAGAGCUCGUAGGCGGUCUGUCACGUCUGCCGUGAAAACCCGAGGCUUAACCUCGUGGCUUGCGGUGGAUACGGGCAGACUAGAGGUAGGUAGGGGAGAACGGAAUUCCUGGUGUAGCGGUGGAAUGCGCAGAUAUCAGGAGGAACACCGAUGGCGAAGGCAGAUCUCUGGGCCGUAACUGACGCUGAGGAGCGAAAGCAUGGGGAGCGAACAGG